RNAcentral lists this long non-coding RNA (1015 nucleotides) under Neogobius melanostomus (round goby). RNAcentral describes it as "lncRNA (ENSNMLG00000024558.1)". Lineage: Eukaryota; Metazoa; Chordata; Actinopteri; Gobiiformes; Gobiidae. The record is from RNAcentral.
CCCUCGAGGCGUCUUCUGUGUUAUCAAUAUGAAACUUUGUUUAGCUGUAGAAGGAAGUGAUGGCCGCAAGUCACAAGUUAGGCCCGGAGAAGUCCAUAAACAGAAUGGAGUUUUAUGGUAUGUUGCAACAAUGACCCGCGCAGCUAUGACUAAACUUCUGUUCCUCGUGAUCCUGGCCUUCAUCCUCUGCCUCCCAGAGUUCUUCAGCGACCACAGAGUCCUGAGCGUGUCUCUACACUGCGUGCGGCCCCAGCUGUGUGGAGAUGAGGAGGAGAGUGCGGUGAAGACUGCAGUCGCGAGGAGCAACAGCACAUGUCCUGAACAAUGGGAGCAUCUCCUCAGUGCCGCGGCCGAUCAAAGGAACGCGACACAGACAGACACGACCUGCUAUGUGUGCCAGGCAAAUGUCAACAUCCCAGAGCUGGAUCACAACCGCUCCUCUUCAGCUGAGACGGUCUACUUCGAAGUGUCUCUCGCCCUCCAGCAGGACGACAUGGCCUCCGUUCACCUCACCUUGUUUGGCCACAGCCAUGACUCCCGAUUCCUCCACCUUUCUGACCAGGAGGAAGGAAAGGAGAACCACAAUUACGCUUUCUUGGACUGCCCUCCAUCAGCGGACGGGGCCAACCACAGCUGCUGCCACCUUUUGCUCUCCAAUAGGACAUUUGCGAGGGGAGGGCUGCCAUGGAAACGCGCCACAGAAGGUGAGUGGACGUAUGUGCUCCGAAUGACCUGGCUCUCCCUGCUGUGCAUCGUGCUGCUGCUCAUCGUCGUCACUGUCGCUCAACAAAUCAUUGUUGAAAGAAAGCGUCGCUCUGGCAAUUCGAAAAUACAGCCAUUUGAUUACAUAAGUAAAGGGCAACAAUCAAUCGACAGCGGAAUAGGCACGGAAGUCAACACUCCCAGGGCUUUGAGUAUAGACCAUUACGCCUGGUCAGCAUUGUCUUCUAUAGAGGAAGUGGAGACAGCAGGUAGGCCAAAACAACUACUGCAGACAGACCAUACCUGUGAGUAA